UACGAAGGGGGACUAGCGUUGUUCGGAUUUACUGGGCGUAAAGCGCGCGUAGGCGGAUCGCUAAGUCAGGGGUGAAAUCCCAGGGCUCAACCCUGGAACUGCCUUUUGAUACUGACGGUCUGGAGAUCGGGAGAGGUUGGUGGAAUUCCGAGUGUAGAGGUGAAAUUCGUAGAUAUUCGGAGGAACACCAGAAGCGAAGGCGGCCAACUGGCCCGAUACUGACGCUGAGGCGCCGAAAGCGUGGGGGAGCAAACAGGAUUGAGAAACCCCGGU
Molecule: ribosomal RNA, 273 nt
Filed under: uncultured bacterium
Lineage: Bacteria
Description: partial 16S ribosomal RNA
Rfam family: Bacterial small subunit ribosomal RNA
Source: RNAcentral